RNAcentral lists this ribosomal RNA (374 nucleotides) under uncultured organism. RNAcentral's name for it is "partial 16S ribosomal RNA". It matches the Rfam family "Bacterial small subunit ribosomal RNA", at positions 526 to 896 of the family's 1533-position model. The record is from RNAcentral.
AGAGGGGUGCAAGCGUUAAUCGGACUUACUGGGCGUAAAGGGUGCGUAGGCGGGUUAAUUAAGUCAGUUGUGAAAGGGCCAGGGGCUCAACCUUGGAACUGCAAUUGAUACUGGUAGACUAGAGUCGAGUAGAGGGAAGUGGAAUUUCCGGUGUAGCGGUGAAAUGCGUAGAUAUCGGAAGGAACACCCGUGGCGAAGGCGACUUCCUGGACUCAGACUGACGCUGAGGCACGAAAGCGUGGGUAGCGAACAGGAUUAGAUACCCUGGUAGUCCACGCUGUAAACGAUGAGUACUAGCUGUUGGUUUCCAUGAGGAAUCAGUAGCGGAGCAAACGCAUUAAGUACUCCGCCUGGGGAUUACGGCCGCAAGGCUA